RNAcentral lists this ribosomal RNA (440 nucleotides) under uncultured bacterium. RNAcentral's name for it is "bacterial SSU rRNA". It matches the Rfam family "Bacterial small subunit ribosomal RNA", at positions 377 to 833 of the family's 1533-position model. The record is from RNAcentral.
GAAAGCCUGACGCAGCGACGCCGCGUGGAGGAUGAAGGCCCUCGGGUUGUAAACUCCUGUCAGUGGGGAAGAGAAUGGACGGUACCCACUGAGGAAGCUUCGGCUAACUACGUGCCAGCAGCCGCGGUAAGACGUAGGGAGCAAGCGUUGUCCGGAAUUACUGGGCGUAAAGAGCUCGUAGGCGGGACCGUAAGUCCGAGAGGAAAUCUCAAGGCUCAACUUUGGGGCUUUCUCGGAUACUGCGGUUCUUGAGGAUAUCAGGGGACAGUAGAAUUCUCGGUGUAGCGGUGAAAUGCGUAGAUAUCGGGAGGAAUACCAGUGGCGAAGGCGACUGUCUGGGAUGUUCCUGACGCUGAGGAGCGAAAGCGUGGGUAGCAAACGGGAUUAGAUACCCCGGUAGUCCACGCCGUAAACGAUGGAUACUAGGUGUAGGAGGUAUC